UCGACGCAAUUAUUCACUGAACACUAAAAUCGAGAAAAAUCGAGAAAAAUUGAGAAAAAUCGAGAAAAAUCGAGAAAAAUCGAGAAAAAUCGAAAAAACUCGUUUAGGCGAUAAAAGCCAUAGAACGAUUAUUCUCGAAACGAGAAUCGCUUCUCGAAAGUCGAACUAUCGAUUCGAUCAAUUUAUCGUUCGUGCAAUGGUGCAAGCGUGCAAUUCUGACAAAAAGAGUGCUUUUUAUUGGCAGCGCUGCUCACAGGCAGCACGCGUACGGAAUCUAUUCGCAUUGCCUUUACAACCGCCGUAAACAAAUUGGUUACACGUCUGACGCCCGGCGUCAUAAUACCAGCGUAACACAGAGCCCGGACAAGGGCCGGGAUCUUUCUCCAAGCGGCAUACGUCUGUCAGUUUUACUGUAAAUAGCAGAAAAACGAGCGUGAUACGUGCGGAUGUCGAAUGAAAGAAAUUGAAAUGGAUGAACAUACCUCGUCUCCUUCCUGGUUGUAAGCAUUGUUGGUGACAAGCGAUUUCCGUUGGGAAGUUAUUAUCAUUUCCUUUGCAUCCACCGUACAGGAAUUGCUCGCAACCUUGUGAUUCUGCAUUGAAGUACCACCUGGUAAAAUUGCCCUCGCAGGGACCUGAUUCUUUCGUUUGGUCGCAAGGAUCUAAUGAAAUAUAAUAAAAAAUGAAGAUUAAUAUUGGUAUCUCAUUAUACUUUACUAUCACAACAAAAUUGAUCAUUGCAUUCAUACAAAAUCACAAAUCACAAAAUCACAAACUUCAUAUGAA
Long non-coding RNA from Apis dorsata (giant honeybee), 786 nucleotides. RefSeq lists it as uncharacterized. The record is from RefSeq and is a predicted model, not a curated record. The transcript has 3 exons. Lineage: Eukaryota; Metazoa; Arthropoda; Insecta; Hymenoptera; Apidae.